This 1134-nucleotide long non-coding RNA is filed under the name Sorghum bicolor (sorghum). RNAcentral describes it as "long non-coding RNA (SBIC_LNC016444)". Lineage: Eukaryota; Viridiplantae; Streptophyta; Magnoliopsida; Poales; Poaceae. The record is from RNAcentral.
CCAUGCCUUCCAAUGCCAUGAACCAAGCUUGUCAUGGGUUCUCCAUUGAGUAGAGAGGCCUUGGAGCAAGUUUGAUGGCCAUUGGACAUAUGUUCAUGGCGGCCGCCAUACAUUCCUGGCGCCCGUCAUGCCCUAGUGACAAGCUUCCGACACGUUAUAUCUCACAAUCUUCCAGAAGCCAUAACUUUGUCAUCCGAACUCUGAAUUGAGUGAACCAAAACUCCAUUUCAUGUAUCUCGACGAGCUCUUUAACAUGGAGUAAUCAAAAUGAGCAAUUGAAGAUGUCUUUUUACCAUGUAUAUUGCCCUAUUUCACCUGCACUCACAUAAUCACCACAAGUUGUGGAAAUCAUUAGUAAUAAACCCUAUGACUAUGUUUUGUGUCACUUAUAUGACCAAAAUAGCCAUUGUUGAUAGUAUAAAAUGAGGUGUUAAGGACCAUCAACACUACUUCUACUCUGGAAGUACGCAUUCAUUCAUUCACCCACACACAUUCCACAUCUACUUAGAAAAUGUUCUACUCCUACACUGGGAGAAGGCACCCAAAAAUAUUCAUUGCCAUUAUGUCUUAUUCUACUUAUCCUAUAAAGCUUCACUUAUUUCAGUUGAUACUCCCUACUGUUAUUAGUGCAUUAAAAGGGUUGGCUGAUCUUAAAAAAGAGAGAAAAAGAAAAGAAAGAGGACAAAAGUCCCAAAGAAAAAGAAAAGAGAAAGACAACCAAGUCCUUAUUCUCAGAUUAGGGAGGUAUGUUAUCCCCAAGGAGCAAUUGUAGAAUUAGAUAUUCACCAUCAGUCAUCACCCCUCAUCAUUCUUAUCAUUCACUGCACUCACAUGCACAUAUGACUUGGUUGUAUAAUUAGUUUCUCUGGAUCCAUGGUUUAACUAUGCAAUACAUGCAAGUAGGUUUGAAUUGUCUUUCCCACCUAUGAGCUCCAUAAGCCAAUUAUGAGUAGGGUGAGAGAGAGAAGGCUAUUAAGCCUUAGUGAUAUAAUUACCAUAUUCUGAGAGAAGGCAUAUUCACUUGCCUUGGAGAGGAUCCAAAAAUACCACAUAUGAGAGACUGAAAAGGAUCAUACAAGGAAACUCUGAGUUUUAUUUGAAAAUAUUGUAAAAACUUUAGAAUAAUAGUUGACC